RNAcentral lists this ribosomal RNA (331 nucleotides) under uncultured eukaryote. Its description in RNAcentral is "partial 18S ribosomal RNA". It matches the Rfam family "Eukaryotic small subunit ribosomal RNA", at positions 1470 to 1796 of the family's 1831-position model. The record is from RNAcentral.
CCCUUAGAUGUUCUGGGCCGCACGCGCGCUACACUGUUCGACGCAGCGAGUCUUAACCUUGACCGAAAGGUUUGGGUAAUCUUCAGCAAAGUCGAACGUGCUGGGGAUCGAUCAUUGCAAUUAUUGAUCGUGAACGAGGAAUUCCUAGUAAGUGCAAGUCAUCAGCUUGCGCUGAUUACGUCCCUGCCCUUUGUACACACCGCCCGUCGCUACUACCGAUUGAAUGGUUUAGUGAGAUCUCUGGAUUGACGCUGGCUAGGGGGCGACCCUUGGCCAGGCUGUCGAGAAACUGCUCAAACUUGAUCAUUUAGAGGAAGUAAAAGUCGUAACA